GAGUUUGAUCGUGGCUCAGAUUGAACGCUGGCGGCAUGCCUUACACAUGCAAGUCGAACGGCAGCAUGAUCUAGCUUGCUAGAUUGAUGGCGAGUGGCGAACGGGUGAGUAAUACAUCGGAACGUGCCCUGUAGUGGGGGAUAACUAGUCGAAAGAUUAGCUAAUACCGCAUACGACCUGAGGGUGAAAGUGGGGGACCGCAAGGCCUCAUGCUAUAGGAGCGGCCGAUGUCUGAUUAGCUAGUUGGUGGGGUAAAGGCCCGACCAAGGCGACGAUCAGUAGCUGGUCUGAGAGGACGAUCAGCCACACUGGGGCUGAGACACGGCCCAGACUCCUACGGGAGGCAGCGGUGGGGAAUUUUGGACAAUGGGCGAAAGCCUGAUCCAGCAAUGCCGCGUGUGUGAAGAAGGCCUCGGUUGUAAGU
This 424-nucleotide ribosomal RNA is filed under the name uncultured microorganism. RNAcentral describes it as "bacterial SSU rRNA". It matches the Rfam family "Bacterial small subunit ribosomal RNA", at positions 9 to 430 of the family's 1533-position model. The record is from RNAcentral.